CCUACGGGUGGCAGCAGUGGGGAAUAUUGGGCAAUGGGCGCAAGCCUGACCCAGCAACGCCGCGUGAAGGAAGAAGGCUUUCGGGUUGUAAACUUCUUUUCUCAGGGACGAAGAAAGUGACGGUACCUGAGCAAUAAGCCAACGCUAACUCCUUACCAGCAGCCGCGGUAAUACGUAGGUGGCAAGAGGUAACCGCAAUUAUUGGGGGUAAAGGGCGUGUAGGCGGGAGCGCAAGUCAGAUGUGAAAACUCCGGGCUCAACCCUGAGCCUGCAUUUGAAACUGUGUUUCUUGAGUUGUGGAGAGGCAAUCGGAAUUCCGUGUGUAGCGGUGAAAUGCGUAGAUAUACGGAGGAACACCAGUGGCGAAGGUGGAUUGCUGGACAGUAACUGACGCUGAGGCGCGAAAGCGUGGGGAGCAAACAGGAGUAGAUACCCUAGUAGUC
Molecule: ribosomal RNA, 443 nt
Filed under: uncultured bacterium
Lineage: Bacteria
Description: partial 16S ribosomal RNA
Rfam family: Bacterial small subunit ribosomal RNA
Source: RNAcentral